RNAcentral lists this ribosomal RNA (340 nucleotides) under uncultured eukaryote. RNAcentral describes it as "partial 18S ribosomal RNA". It matches the Rfam family "Eukaryotic small subunit ribosomal RNA", at positions 1470 to 1796 of the family's 1831-position model. The record is from RNAcentral.
CCCUUAGAUGUUCGGGGCCGCACGCGCGCUACACUGAAGGACUCAGCGUGUCUCUCCCCCUAUCCCGAAAGGGAUGGGCAACCCGUUGAACCUCCUUCGUGCUAGGGAUUGGGGUUUGCAAUUAUCCCCCAUGAACGAGGAAUUCCCAGUAAGCGCGAGUCAUCAGCUCGCGUUGAUUACGUCCCUGCCCUUUGUACACACCGCCCGUCGCUACUACCGAUUGGAUGGUUUAGUGAGACCCUCGGAUCGGUCCCGACUCGGGGUGGGCUUCUGCCCCGGUCGUGGUUUCGCCGAGAAGACGGUCAAACUUGGCUAUCUAGAGGAAGUAAAAGUCGUAACA